Cinara cedri is the source of this 290-nucleotide non-coding RNA. Lineage: Eukaryota; Metazoa; Arthropoda; Insecta; Hemiptera; Aphididae. The record is from the annotation of a GenBank genome assembly.
AUUUUCACUCAAAUAGAUAAAGCUGUUUGAAAUUUUAACUGUUUUAUCGCACUAAGAAGAUGAUUUGCAGAACUAGAAGUAUCAAAAUCUGUCCAAAGUGUAAUUUUGUCUAGUGCAUGUAAAAUGACUGGUUGAAGUUCUUCAAAUAAUUUAACUGCGUCAUGGCGAUCGACCCAUUGAGUUGCACAUUGAUUUUUUUUAGCUUAAAACGAUUAGUCUGUGGAUAUACCUCAUCAAUUAAAAAUUGCAAAACACUUUGCCUUUUUAGAUAACCGAAAGAGAUAACCGAU